CACUCUCCACCUCCACCAGUAAAAUCUCCCCCUCCUCCCUAUUACUACAGCUCACCUCCUCCACCAGUAUAUAUUUACGCUUCGCCACCACCUCCAGUCCACUUCUAAGAGCAUUUAGGAGUUCAGACAUUCGCCACAAUCAAUCAAAUUUUAAUUUGAAACACAAAAUAAAUGGUGGCUUCUGGAGGGAAAGAUUCAAACGUCAAUGGAACAAAGCAAUUAAUUUAUGGAAUAAGAUAUUCAAUUUUUCAAUUGAAGGAUUGAUUAUUCCUGACAUGAACCAGUUUGCUUCUACUUCUCUUUUGGCCUUCUUGCACAUUGUUCUCUUAGUGCGUUCACGUGAACGUAUCUAAGCUUUGAUGCUUCCUAGAGUUUGUUUCUUCGUAAUUUAUUGUUGUAUUGAGGAUAUUGUGUCCUCAUUUAUUCAUUCCUAUUAAUUGUUUUAUCUUGUUCUUGUAAUACUUUCGUGUACUUUAAUUGUGCACAAAUCAAUAAGAAGAUCAAUUUCGUUA
This is a long non-coding RNA of Lycium ferocissimum, 512 nucleotides long. RefSeq lists it as uncharacterized. Lineage: Eukaryota; Viridiplantae; Streptophyta; Magnoliopsida; Solanales; Solanaceae. The transcript has 2 exons. The record is from RefSeq and is a predicted model, not a curated record.